RNAcentral lists this ribosomal RNA (440 nucleotides) under uncultured bacterium. Its description in RNAcentral is "partial 16S ribosomal RNA". It matches the Rfam family "Bacterial small subunit ribosomal RNA", at positions 338 to 795 of the family's 1533-position model. The record is from RNAcentral.
CCUACGGGGGGCUGCAGUGGGGGAUAUUGCACAAUGGGGGAAACCCUGAUGCAGCGACGCCGCGUGGGUGAAGAAGCGCCUCGGCGCGUAAAGCCCUGUCAGCAGGGAAGAAAAUGACGGUACCUGAAGAAGAAGCCCCGGCUAACUACGUGCCAGCAGCCGCGGUAAUACGUAGGGGGCAAGCGUUAUCCGGAUUUACUGGGUGUAAAGGGGGCGCAGGCGGCGAAGCAAGCCAGGAGUGAAAGCCCGGGGCCCAACCCCGGGACUGCACUUGGAACUGCGUGGCUAGAGUGCCGGAGGGGCAGGCGGAAUUCCUGGUGUAGCGGUAAAAUGCGUAGAGAUCAGGAGGAACACCGGUGGCGAAGGCGACCUGCUGGACUGCAACUGACGUUGAGGCCCGAAAGCGUGGGGAGCAAACAGGAUUAGAUACCCUUCUAGUC